Molecule: non-coding RNA, 854 nt
Organism: Solanum lycopersicum (tomato)
Lineage: Eukaryota; Viridiplantae; Streptophyta; Magnoliopsida; Solanales; Solanaceae
Source: RefSeq, a predicted model, not a curated record
UUAAAUUUGGGGAGUGUAAUUUUUAGAUUUGGAAUUUUUCUAAAUGUUUUUUAUUUACUCUUUGCAUUUUCUGACAAGUUCAUCGAAGCUUGGGUAAAUAAACAAAGUUCAUUUCCACCGCCAUCACAAUAGCUCCCCGGUGUUGUAUUUGACUUUUCUCCGGGUGAAAUCCACCUGAACAACCUACCCGGCCAGCCAUUCCAGAUCAGGGACAAGACAACACUAACAUCCAUCUCCUUCCUCUCUUCCUCCCUGCCGGAAUCCGGCGAAACACCACCAAAACUCCCCUUUGUUUCUCUCCUUUUUAAAGCCAAGCAAACCAGAAACACACCCACAACAGCCAAAACGAGCACUCUACCACCAAAAAACCACCAUUUCUGACGGUCGGAGCCACCAGAACAACAACCCCAUCUCUCCAUUUUUCCGACCCCAAACAGACCCCAUUUUCCUUUCUCUUCUCUGACCAGUCACACCUUUAAAACAUUACCCUCUUAAAAUUUUUGUUUGUUUUGCAGGUAUUCCGGCAAGCCAAAGCCAUGCUUUGCUGUUGUUCCAGGAUUUCUCCGGCGAAGGACAACAAACCAGACCCUUCCAUACGUUGCCUCUUUCACAACCCAACUCCAGAGAACAAUGGAUCCAACCAUUUGUUUGCUUCAGUGUGUUUACAGGUACCCAAGACUUGCUUCCUUGAAGCGAUUCGAAAAGAGUUCGAAUUAUAUUUUUCAAUUCAUUAUUUUGUAUAUAUCGAUGUUAGGCAAACUUUAGGCCGAUAUUAUUAUUUUAUUUUAUUGUGUAUGUUGCAUGAUUAUUAUAUUUGUAUAUUAUUUUAUUCACCUCCUCAAUUUGGAACUCAA